ACCCGCUGAACUUAAGCAUAUCAAUAAGCGGAGGAAAAGAAACCAACAGGGAUUGCCCUAGUAACGGCGAGUGAAGCGGCAACAGCUCAAAUUUGAAAUCUGGCCCUAGUGGUCCGAAUUGUAAUUUGUAGAGGAUGCUUUGGGCGCGGUGCCUUCCGAGUUCCUUGGAACAGGACGCCUUAGAGGGUGAGAGCCCCGUACGGUUGGACACCAAGCCUAUGUAAAGCUCCUUCGACGAGUCGAGUAGUUUGGGAAUGCUGCUCUAAAUGGGAGGUAAAUUUCUUCUAAAGCUAAAUACCGGCCAGAGACCGAUAGCGCACAAGUAGAGUGAUCGAAAGAUGAAAAGUACUUUGAAAAGAGGGUUAAAUAGCACGUGAAAUUGUUGAAAGGGAAGCAUUUAUGACCAGACCUUUGCUAGGUGGAUCAUCCGGUGUUCUUCACCGGUGCACUUCGCCUAGCUUAGGCCAGCAUCGAUUUCUGUAGGGGGAUAAAGGUCUAGGGAACGUAGCUCUCUUCGGAGAGUGUUAUAGCCCUGGGCGUAAUACCCUUACGGGGAUCGAGGUUCGCGCUUCGGCAAGAUGCUGGCAUAAUGGCAUCAUGACCCGUCUUGAAACACGGACC
This 621-nucleotide ribosomal RNA is filed under the name Eutypella sp. 1 DACA-2015. RNAcentral's name for it is "eukaryotic LSU rRNA". It matches the Rfam family "Eukaryotic large subunit ribosomal RNA", at positions 23 to 667 of the family's 3401-position model. The record is from RNAcentral. Lineage: Eukaryota; Fungi; Ascomycota; Sordariomycetes; Xylariales; Diatrypaceae.